CAGGCAGUCUCCUUGGCUAAG
This 21-nucleotide microRNA is filed under the name Citrus sinensis (sweet orange). RNAcentral's name for it is "csi-miR169c-3p". Its record names the gene csi-miR169c-3p. Lineage: Eukaryota; Viridiplantae; Streptophyta; Magnoliopsida; Sapindales; Rutaceae. The record is from miRBase by way of RNAcentral.